RNAcentral lists this ribosomal RNA (468 nucleotides) under uncultured bacterium. RNAcentral describes it as "partial 16S ribosomal RNA". It matches the Rfam family "Bacterial small subunit ribosomal RNA", at positions 28 to 507 of the family's 1533-position model. The record is from RNAcentral.
GACGAACGCUGGCGGCGUGCUUAACACAUGCAAGUCGAACGGAAAGGCCCUGCUUUUGUGGGGUGCUCGAGUGGCGAACGGGUGAGUAACACGUGAGUAACCUGCCCUUGACUUUGGGAUAACUUCAGGAAACUGGGGCUAAUACCGGAUAGGAGCUCCUGCUGCAUGGUGGGGGUUGGAAAGUUUCGGCGGUUGGGGAUGGACUCGCGGCUUAUCAGCUUGUUGGUGGGGUAGUGGCUUACCAAGGCUUUGACGGGUAGCCGGCCUGAGAGGGUGACCGGCCACAUUGGGACUGAGAUACGGCCCAGACUCCUACGGGAGGCAGCAGUGGGGAAUAUUGCACAAUGGGCGGAAGCCUGAUGCAGCAACGCCGCGUGCGGGAUGACGGCCUUCGGGUUGUAAACCGCCUUCGCCUGUGACGAGGCGUGAGUGACGGUAAUGGGUAAAGAAGCACCGGCUAACUACGUG